UGACUGAGGAUCUGAGCCUUAACAGGGCUCAAUAACCUAAGCGCUCAUUGAAUCAGAGGGCGCUGAGGUUGCUCAGAGAAUGGGGAAGCAGAGAACAGAUGAAAUCACAAAAGGUUCUGGCAUGCUUGGGACAAACUUUCAGAUUUUGUGUCCCAUACUCAGUCUCCUUCUCUAUCACCAUCUGGGAACACAAGAUGAAAUCAGAGCCCCUAUGAAGAUUGCUUAGGAUGAUUGCAUCAACUUGUGCUGAUCUGUGCAAGAAGCCAGACCAGGUGGGAAUCACAAGCUCCGAUUCAGGACCCAAAGGAUGCGUACACCUCAUGUGAAAGGAAAGGAGAGAGAAAAGAGGCUUUUGAAGGAAGACUUUAGGUCUGUUCAGGACUAAGCUUUGGUCCAUUAUUUGAAGCAAAUCUCAUGAAGCAGAUUAAUUAUAGACAGCAAGACUAAUGCCAUAAUGAUUAUUACUGUCAAAGGCACCUAACUCCUUCAGAUUCCCUUGAAAAUCCCUGUGCUGAUGUAUGUUGCACUGACAGAGUGCAGUAAGAGCUCUGACUAGCACAGGAAGAAAAAGCUCCCACAAUUUUCACGCUUCAUCUAUGGUUUCCAUAGCAGAUUUGGCAACAUCUUAAACCUUCCUCAGCCCUAUACCUAUUAUCAGUUGCGUUAUGUUACAGUGCUGCAUUUUAAUUGCUGUGUUUUCUGAGACAGAGGGAGCUGAAUUUAAAUAUAUCUCAAGCACCAGCAGUGAUAUUUAGCACAGCUACCGUAAUUAAGUAUUCAGCCUUCACCAACAAAUAAACUUCUCACUUGAGCAAAUGGGUUCUCUGAAAAACACCUGAAUGUUUGACAAAAUUCCAUUUUCUGUUAUUUUAAUAUCAUUAGGAGGCCUUGGCUUUCUUGAUUGGCUGGGUGUGCAUCUAAACUGCCAAGAAAUUACCCAUUUUCGAUCACAGCUCUUUUCCUUUUACGAAUGCAGACAUUGACAGCUCUAACAAAGAUGCUCAGCUAGGAAGCUUUUUCUCCUGUAAGAGAAAUGAAAUAUUGCUGAGUUAAAACCACUAAUUACAGUUUAGAAUAACAAUACUUCCUGGAAAAAAAAAUAAAAAUUAAACUACACUUAACUGCUGGGGGCUUUUUUCUUUAAACUAGGGGUUUGACUACAGUCUGAUGGCUAACUACUUGCAAAAAUCUUCCCAAUUGCUACAGUCUAGCUGGUAGAUUCCAGAGCAAAAAAACCACCCC
This 1242-nucleotide long non-coding RNA is filed under the name Strigops habroptila (Kakapo). RNAcentral describes it as "lncRNA (ENSSHBG00005000119.1)". The record is from RNAcentral. Lineage: Eukaryota; Metazoa; Chordata; Aves; Psittaciformes; Psittacidae.